UACGUAGGGUGCGAGCGUUAAUCGGAAUUACUGGGCGUAAAGCGUGCGCAGGCGGUUUGUAAGCCAGAUGUGAAAUCCCCGGCUUAACCUGGGAAUGGCAUUUGGGACUGCAAGGCUUGAGUGCGGCAGAGGAGACUGGAAUUCCUGGUGUAGCAGUGAAAUGCGUAGAUAUCAGGAGGAACACCGAUGGCGAAGGCAGGUCUCUGGGCUGACACUGACGCUCAUGCACGAAAGGCGUGGGAGCAAA
This 247-nucleotide ribosomal RNA is filed under the name uncultured bacterium. RNAcentral describes it as "partial 16S ribosomal RNA". It matches the Rfam family "Bacterial small subunit ribosomal RNA", at positions 524 to 772 of the family's 1533-position model. The record is from RNAcentral.